CGCUUUGCCAGCGGGCGGGCCUUCCGGGAGGGGUGGGAAGUGGCUCGUGUCUCUGGCAGGAGGCGGGUGUGUGUGCGGGUGUAGACCCGAAUCCUGCGGGCGGGCGGAGGGGCCGCAGGCCUGAGGCGAGGUCCCCCGAGGCUGCGGCUGCUCGGCCGGGAGGCGGCCGUUCGUUCCUCCGGUGGGGCGGCGCAGCGAGGGCCCCUGCGGGGGCUCUUCCGAAGCCCGUGCCCUCACCUGAAGGAGGGCAGUCCUGCGCUUGCCCGGCUUCCCCGGCGCGCUGCCGGUCAUCCCCCUUCCACCGUGCGGCUCAGGUCACCGCUGCCAUGGCUUUGCCCCAUCGGCCGGAUGCCCCGGAGCUGCCUGACUUCUCCAUGCUCAAGAGGCUGGCCCGAGACCAGCUCCUCUAUCUGCUGGAGCAGUAAUUGAAGACAGCAAUACCUGGAUUUAAUUAUGAAACGACAUUUACUAAAACUUCAAAUAUUAAGAAUUAUGAAAGCAAAGCUUGAACGUAACUGCUUACCCUAAAAAGUGUCAAAUGACCUGAAACGUGACAUUUGCAAGAGCCAAUGCAGUCCGCUCGUAGGAUCCCAUCAGCCAGAGAAGGACAGACCAAAGUGACACUUGUUGAAUCAAUUCCUGGAAGCCAAGCUUUCUGAUCAACCCAGGUGCUUCUCAAGGAGUCUUCCCAGAGAAAGGGUCUUGAACAAGAAUUGAAGACAGCCUUCAGAUGAAUAUUAGCUACGUCGUGCAUCCUGAGAGGUGACUGGCUUCCUGAGGGCAGAGAUCCUGUCGGCCUGCUCAUCACUUUAUCCUCAGGAAGGCUGACGUGUCCACAGACGAUUUGGAGGAGGUCUGUCUCCAGGAGUAGGGAGGGGAGGUGGUGUCUGGGGCUGUCGGAAGCCACUUUGUUUAGGGUCGGGGGAGCUGCUUAGUCAGGGGUGGGGUGUGCCCUCAAUGGCAGCCUCAAAGCUACACAGAAAGGACCCCCCCCGCCCCCCGCCUCGUCCCGCUGGCCAAUACACAUCUGUGCUUUUAGACUGUACUUCUAGGCUUUUAUUGUCAAGAUUGACUGGGGAAAAAAAAAAAAAAGAUUGACUGGGGCAGGUGGGUGGAGGGAAAGGAAGGUGGGGCAUCCCGGCCGCAGGAGGGUUAGGGCAGAUGGGGGGCAACAAUUGCCAUGGCUUAAAAAUGUCACCUAAACAGGUGGGUUUGGCCUCUGGUUGGGAGGAAAGUGGGCUGAGGAGAAGGGCGAAGAAAAAAGGAGACACUGGCACUCCCUUAGGAGGUCCUAUGGUGAGGGCUGGCACCAACAGGUGGACAGUUUCUGCCCAGUUCUCAGGAAUACACCCAGCUUUUCCAGGGCCACCAGCCCCUGUGUUAAUACACCCAGGGAAGAGCCGUGCAGACAAGAUUGCCCCCUCUUCUCGUGCCCGUGGCCCAUCAGGAAGUGAGCCUGGGGCACGAAUCCCCUGAAGUCAGUUCCAGGAAGAAAGAAUCAGUGUACCUCAGCCAAAUUUAUAAAAGUGUCAAUAUCAAAAGGUCCCAAACACCUGUAAACCAAGAAACAAGGAAGGCACCAAAGCAUAAAGUAAAAGCAAAAUGGGUCUCGGUGCUUUUGAGUUGAAUCAGGAGGAACAUCACUGCCUUCUCGCCACUGCUGGAUGCAGGAGUCCAGCAUCCCAUGCUAAUGUGGGAGGAGGCAGGGCUCGGGUCCACCAGUAAAGACUGUAAUUUAGAUUGUUGCCUGUUGGUUUCUCCUACCGAGCUCUGAGCGCAUGGAGGUGGGGUCAUUUGUUCAUUUUUUGUCUGCUGGGCGGGUAUCUGGUACCCGUGGGAAGCACUGAAUCAAUGCUUAGGGAAUGAAAGUGCUUUCAAAAUGGCAGUCCUUCUAGUGCUGUCACACCUGGUUUCUAUUCAGGCAGAUACUGGGCCAAUGAUCACGAUAUAGUCACUGGGCCGCUGUGUUGACUCCUUCUUGUGUCCUUGAUACGUAGGAGGCAGGAAAAAUUGAGUUGAGUUGGUGACGAAAGAGCG
Hippopotamus amphibius kiboko is the source of this 2037-nucleotide long non-coding RNA. RefSeq lists it as uncharacterized. The transcript has 4 exons. Lineage: Eukaryota; Metazoa; Chordata; Mammalia; Artiodactyla; Hippopotamidae. The record is from RefSeq and is a predicted model, not a curated record.